GAUGAACGCUGGCGGCGUGCCUAAUACAUGCAAGUCGAGCGAACGGACGAGAAGCUUGCUUCUCUGAUGUUAGCGGCGGACGGGUGAGUAACACGUGGAUAACCUACCUAUAAGACUGGGAUAACUUCGGGAAACCGUAGCUAAUACCGGAUAAUAUUUUGAACCGCAUGGUUCAAAAGUGAAAGACGGUCUUGCUGUCACUUAUAGAUGGAUCCGCGCUGCAUUAGCUAGUUGGUAAGGUAACGGCUUACCAAGGCAACGAUGCAUAGCCGACCUGAGAGGGUGAUCGGCCACACUGGAACUGAGACACGGUCCAGACUCCUACGGGAGGCAGCAGUAGGGAAUCUUCCGCAAUGGGCGAAAGCCUGACGGAGCAACGCCGCGUGAGUGAUGAAGGUCUGCGGAUCGAAAACUCUGUUAUUAGGGAAGAACAUAUGUGUAAGUAACUGUGCACAUCUUGACGGUACCUAAUCAGAAAGCCACGGCUAACUACGUG
RNAcentral lists this ribosomal RNA (496 nucleotides) under uncultured bacterium. RNAcentral describes it as "partial 16S ribosomal RNA". It matches the Rfam family "Bacterial small subunit ribosomal RNA", at positions 28 to 507 of the family's 1533-position model. The record is from RNAcentral.